This 253-nucleotide ribosomal RNA is filed under the name uncultured bacterium. RNAcentral describes it as "partial 16S ribosomal RNA". It matches the Rfam family "Bacterial small subunit ribosomal RNA", at positions 524 to 776 of the family's 1533-position model. The record is from RNAcentral.
UACGAAGGGGGCUAGCGUUGCUCGGAAUCACUGGGCGUAAAGGGUGCGUAGGCGGGUCUUUAAGUCAGGGGUGAAAUCCUGGAGCUCAACUCCAGAACUGCCUUUGAUACUGAAGAUCUUGAGUUCGGGAGAGGUGAGUGGAACUGCGAGUGUAGAGGUGAAAUUCGUAGAUAUUCGCAAGAACACCAGUGGCGAAGGCGACACGCUGGGCCAUACCUGACGCUAAAGCGCGACAGCAUGGGGAGCAAACGGG